This 26-nucleotide non-coding RNA is filed under the name Homo sapiens (human). Lineage: Eukaryota; Metazoa; Chordata; Mammalia; Primates; Hominidae. The record is from RNAcentral.
UGCCACGCCAAGCAGCCACCGCAAAG